GGCAGUCAGAGUAGGUAAAUCCGCUUUGAUAAUGCUGGGAUGUGAUGGGGAGCGAAAUUUAGUAGCGAAGUAGCUGAUUUCACACUGUCAAGAAAAGUCUCUAUCGAGGUUAAAGGUACCCGUACCGCAAACCGACACAGGUGGGUGAGGAGAGUAUCCUAAGGCCCGCGAGAGAACUGUUGUUAAGGAACUCGGCAAAAUGACCCCGUAACUUAGGGAUAAGGGGUGCCACCAUCCGGUGGCCGCAGAGAAUAG
RNAcentral lists this ribosomal RNA (255 nucleotides) under Clostridioides difficile. Its description in RNAcentral is "partial 23S ribosomal RNA". It matches the Rfam family "Bacterial large subunit ribosomal RNA", at positions 1523 to 1789 of the family's 2925-position model. Lineage: Bacteria; Bacillati; Bacillota; Clostridia; Peptostreptococcales; Peptostreptococcaceae. The record is from RNAcentral.